CCUAGUAACUGCGAGUGAAGAGGGAAAGCUCAAAUUUAAAUCUGGCAGCUUUGCUGUCCGAGUUGUAAUUUAGAGAAGUGUUACCCGCGUUUGGACCGUGUACAAGUCUCCUGGAAUGGAGCGUCAUAGAGGGUGAGAAUCCCGUCUUUGACACGGACUGCCAAGGCAUUGUGGUACGCUCUCAAAGAGUCGAGUUGUUUGGGAAUGCAGCUCUAAAUGGGUGGUAAAUUCCAUCUAAAGCUAAAUAUUGGCGAGAGACCGAUAGCAAACAAGUACCGUGAGGGAAAGAUGAAAAGAACUUUGGAAAGAGAGUUAAACAGUACGUGAAAUUGUUGAAAGGGAAACGCUUAAAGUCCAGUCGCGUUGGCUAAGAAUCAGCCUUGGUUUUUUCCUUGGUGCACUUCCUAGUUGACGGGUCAACAUCAGUUUUGACUGUUGGAUAAAGAUCAAGGGAAUGUGGCACCCUCGGGUGUGUUAUAGCUUUUGGUUGUAUACAACGGUUGGGACUGAGGAACUCAGCACGCCGCAAGGCCAGGUGUUUGUACCAUGUACGUGCUUAGGAUGUUGGC
Molecule: ribosomal RNA, 569 nt
Filed under: Armillaria mellea
Lineage: Eukaryota; Fungi; Basidiomycota; Agaricomycetes; Agaricales; Physalacriaceae
Description: eukaryotic LSU rRNA
Rfam family: Eukaryotic large subunit ribosomal RNA
Source: RNAcentral